GUUGAAACAGGACGAGUUCAGGUAUAUCAUUAGUGCAACAAGUAGACUUACUGAUCUGCAUCAAUACACAGAAAACCAUUGGAGUUGCCUGAUGAUAUCCAGGAAGCGCCUUUUUCAUGUUUUCUGGGAGAACUUGUAAUGGUAUCUCCAACCCUUGCAUCAGCAACUGAGCGAAUUGACAUACCCCAUCUCUACAGAGGAACAUCGUCAAGACAAAAUAUGUGUUGAAGGUGCGUACCUCUCCUGCGUACAGCUGCUGCACGGGCAUUUGUGAAGGCGACAAUACUCCUAUUUCAUCAACCUGGUAUUCCUGCAUGCCAAAUACACGUUCUGAAUGAGAAAAAUACCCAUCUUUCCACUAGACAUAAAUUUUACUGAUUCUCCUCGACACAAGCUCCCAUCUAUGACUCUAAAGUACACGAUGACGCCGCAGUAGGGAUCGUAG
Molecule: long non-coding RNA, 445 nt
Filed under: Selaginella moellendorffii
Lineage: Eukaryota; Viridiplantae; Streptophyta; Lycopodiopsida; Selaginellales; Selaginellaceae
Description: long non-coding RNA (SMOE_LNC001211)
Source: RNAcentral